GGCAACCAGUUGGGGGUCCACUGCCGCAGUGUGGGAGGUUUGUUCUUUCGCUCUUUGCAAUAAAUCUUGUUACUGCUCACCCUGGGUCCACACUGCUUUUGUGAGUUGUAACACUCACUGGGAAGGUCUGCAGCUUCACUCCUCAAGCCCGGGAGACCGCGAGCCCACCGGGAGAAACGAACAACUCUAGACGCGCCGCCUUAAAAGCGGUAACAUUCACUGCGAAGGUCUGCAGCUUUACUCCUGAGCCAGCGAGACCACGAGCCCACCAGAAGGAAGAAACCCCGAAUACGUCUGAACGUCAGAAGGAACAAACUCCAGAAGCGCCACCUCAAGAGCUGUAACACUCACCGCGAGGGUCCGCGGCUUCAGUCUUGAAGUCAGUGAGACCAAGAACCCACCAAUUCGGGACACAAUACCUAUAAUCCCAGUACUUUAGGAGGCCAGGGCAGGCGGAUCAUCUGAGCUCAGGGGUUGGAGAGGAGCCUGAACAACAUACCGAAACCCCGUCUCUACAAAAAAUACAAAAAUUAACCGGUUGUGGUGGCCGGUGCCGGUAGUUCCAGCUAGUGGGGGACUGCGGAGGUGGGAGCUGAAGCGGGAGGAUCGCUUGAGCCUGGAGGUUGAGGCUGCAGUAAACAGG
Molecule: long non-coding RNA, 643 nt
Filed under: Homo sapiens (human)
Lineage: Eukaryota; Metazoa; Chordata; Mammalia; Primates; Hominidae
Description: non-protein coding LINC02204:20
Source: RNAcentral